This 374-nucleotide ribosomal RNA is filed under the name uncultured bacterium. Its description in RNAcentral is "bacterial SSU rRNA". It matches the Rfam family "Bacterial small subunit ribosomal RNA", at positions 29 to 431 of the family's 1533-position model. The record is from RNAcentral.
AAUGAACGCUGGCGGCAGGCCUAAAACAUGCAAGUCGAACGCUGUAGCAAUACAGAGCGGCGCACGGGUGAGUAACAUGUGGGAAUAUGCCUUUUGGUACGGAACAACGUUUGGAAACGAACGCUAAUACCGUAUGGUCCCUUCGGGGUAAAGAUUUAUCGCCAAAAGAUUAGCCCGCACUAGAUUAGCUAGUUGGUAAGGUAAUGGCUUACCAAGGCGACGAUCUAUAGCUGGUCUGAGAGGACGAUCAGCCACACUGGGACUGAGACACGGCCCAGACUCCUACGGGAGGCAGCAGUUAGGAAUAUUGGACAAUGGGCGCAAGCCUGAUCCAGCCAUGCCGCGUGAGUGAUGAAGGCCUUCGGUUGUUAAAC